AACGAACGCUGGCGGCAUGCCUAACACAUGCAAGUCGAACGAGACCUUCGGGUCUCGUUGCUCACGGGUGCGUAACGCGUGGGCACCUGCCCUUAGAUUCGGAAUAACUCCCCGACAGGGGUUCUAAUACCGGCUAAUGUCUUCGGACCAAAGAUUUAUCGCCUUUGGAUGGGCCCGCGUUGGAUUAGCUAGUUGGUAGGGUAAAAGCCUACCAAGGCGACGAUCCAUAGCUGGUCUGAGAGGAUGAUCAGCCACACUGGGACUGAGACACGGCCCAGAUUCCGACGGGAGGCAGAAGUGGGGAAGAUUGGACCAGGGGCGAAAGCCUGAUCAAGCAAUGCCGCGUGAGUGAUGAAGGCCUUAGGGUUGUAAAGCUCUUUUACCCGGGAUGAUAAUGACAGUACCGGGAGAAUAAGCUCCGGCUAACUCCGUG
RNAcentral lists this ribosomal RNA (433 nucleotides) under uncultured bacterium. RNAcentral's name for it is "partial 16S ribosomal RNA". It matches the Rfam family "Bacterial small subunit ribosomal RNA", at positions 29 to 507 of the family's 1533-position model. The record is from RNAcentral.